UUCCAUAACGAACGAGACCUUAACCUGCUAAAUAGCCAGGCCGGCUUUCGCUGGUCGCCGGCUUUUUAGAGGGACUGUCAGCGUCUAGCUGACGGAAGUUUGAGGCAAAAACAGGUCUGUGAUGCCCUUAGAAGUUUUGGGCCGCACGCGCGCUACACUGACAGAGCCAGCGAGUUUUUUUCCCUUGGCCGGAAGGUCUGGGUAAUCUUGUGAAACUCUGUCGUGCUGGGGAUAGAGCAUUGCAAUUAUUGCUCUUCAACGAGGAAUACCUAGUAAGCGUGAGUCAUCAGCUCGCGUUGAUUACGUCCC
This 309-nucleotide ribosomal RNA is filed under the name uncultured Hydnangium. Its description in RNAcentral is "SSU rRNA". It matches the Rfam family "Eukaryotic small subunit ribosomal RNA", at positions 1324 to 1653 of the family's 1831-position model. The record is from RNAcentral. Lineage: Eukaryota; Fungi; Basidiomycota; Agaricomycetes; Agaricales; Hydnangiaceae.